GGUCAGAUGGCCGAGUGGUCUAAGGCGCCGGUCUCAAGGAAACCAUUAGACUCCUUCCUCGCGUUGCAGAGGGUUCCGGUCAUUAAUUUGGCGCGGGUUCAAAUCCCGCUCUGAUCA
Molecule: transfer RNA, 117 nt
Organism: Rhodotorula graminis WP1
Lineage: Eukaryota; Fungi; Basidiomycota; Microbotryomycetes; Sporidiobolales; Sporidiobolaceae
Rfam family: tRNA
About the family: Transfer RNA (tRNA) molecules are approximately 80 nucleotides in length. Their secondary structure includes four short double-helical elements and three loops (D, anti-codon, and T loops).
Source: Rfam